CGAUUACGGGAGGCAGCAGUGGGGAAUAUUGCGCAAUGGGCGAAAGCCUGACGCAGCGACGCCGCGUGAGGGAUGAAGGUUUUCGGAUCGUAAACCUCUGUCGGAAGGGAAGAAGGUGCACUCUGCUAAUCAGGGGUGUAUUGACGGUACCUUCAAAGGAAGCACCGGCUAACUCCGUGCCAGCAGCCGCGGUAAUAUCG
Molecule: ribosomal RNA, 200 nt
Filed under: uncultured bacterium
Lineage: Bacteria
Description: partial 16S ribosomal RNA
Rfam family: Bacterial small subunit ribosomal RNA
Source: RNAcentral